Molecule: small nuclear RNA, 105 nt
Filed under: Symbiodinium microadriaticum
Lineage: Eukaryota; Dinophyceae; Suessiales; Symbiodiniaceae
Source: RNAcentral
AUCACAUGGAGUAUGACUUCCGAUAAAAUUGGAACGAUACAGAGAAGAUUAGCAUGGCACCUCGCAAGGAUGACGCGCACGAAUCGAGAAUUGUCGAAACUCACC